RNAcentral lists this small RNA (31 nucleotides) under Bombyx mori (domestic silkworm). RNAcentral's name for it is "ovarian small RNA-35138". The record is from RNAcentral. Lineage: Eukaryota; Metazoa; Arthropoda; Insecta; Lepidoptera; Bombycidae.
UGGUCCAUGUUUCUGCUCCAUAGAGAGCGAU